CAGUCGCACGAGAAAGGGGAGCAAUCCCUGAGUACAGUGGCGCACGGGUGAGUAACACGUGACUAAUCUACCCUCGAGUGGGGAAUAACUGAGAGAAAUCUUAGCUAAUACCGCAUAACACUUACGAGUCAAAGCAGCAAUGCGCUUGGGGAGGAGGUCGCGGCCGAUUAGCUAGUUGGCGGGGUAAUGGCCCACCAAGGCGAUGAUCGGUAUCCGGCCUGAGAGGGCGCACGGACACACUGGAACUGAAACACGGUCCAGACUCCUACGGGAGGCAGCAGUGGGGAAUUUUGCGCAAUGGGGGAAACCCUGACGCAGCAACGCCGCGUGGAGGAUGAAGUAUCUUGGUACGUAAACUCCUUUCGAUAGGGAAGAUAAUGACGGUACCUAUAGAAGAAGCCCCGGCUAACUUCGUGCCAGCAGCCGCG
Molecule: ribosomal RNA, 428 nt
Filed under: uncultured soil bacterium
Lineage: Bacteria
Description: bacterial SSU rRNA
Rfam family: Bacterial small subunit ribosomal RNA
Source: RNAcentral